GCAAGUUGAACGCGAAAGUUUUCUUCGGAAAACGAGUAGAGUAGCAGACGGGUGAGGAAUGCAUAGGUAAUCUACACUUGAGUGGGGGACAACUCGUCGAAAGAUGGGCUAAUCCCGCAUAAUAUUUCGACUUAUAAUGGUUGAAAUCAAAGGGGGGGCUCCUUCGGGACCUCUCGCUUGAGGAUGAGCUUAUGUCCUAUUAGUUUGUUGGCAGGGUAAUGGCCUACCAAGACUAUGAUGGGUAGCCGGGCUGAGAGGCUGAUC
RNAcentral lists this ribosomal RNA (264 nucleotides) under uncultured bacterium. RNAcentral describes it as "partial 16S ribosomal RNA". It matches the Rfam family "Bacterial small subunit ribosomal RNA", at positions 57 to 305 of the family's 1533-position model. The record is from RNAcentral.